GGUUAAGCGACUAAGCGUACACGGUGGAUGCCCUGGCAGUCAGAGGCGAUGAAGGACGUGCUAAUCUGCGAAAAGCGUCGGUAAGGUGAUAUGAACCGUUAUAGCCGGCGAUGUCCGAAUGGGGAAACCCAGUGCAAUUCGUUGCACUAUCGUUAACUGAAUACAUAGGUUAACGAGGCGAACCGGGGGAACUGAAACAUCUAAGUACCCCGAGGAAAAGAAAUCAACCGAGAUUCCCCCAGUAGCGGCGAGCGAACGGGGAGCAGCCCGGAGUCUGAAUCAGCUUGUGUGUUAGUGGAAGCGUCUGGAAAGUCGCAGGGUACAGGGUGAUACUCCCGUACACUAAAACAUACAGGCUGUGAACUCGAAGAGUAGGGCGGGACACGUGGUAUCCUGUCUGAAUAUGGGGGGACCAUCCUCCAAGGCUAAAUACUCCUGACUGACCGAUAGUGAACCAGUACCGUGAGGGAAAGGCGAAAAGAACCCCGGCGAGGGGAGUGAAAAAGAACCUGAAACCGUGUACGUACAAGCAGUAGGAGCCCACUUGUUGGGUGACUGCGUACCUUUUGUAUAAUGGGUCAGCGACUUAUAUUCUGUAGCAAGGUUAACCGUAUAGGGGAGCCGCAGGGAAACCGAGUCUUAACUGGGCGUUAAGUUGCAGGGUAUAGACCCGAAACCCGGUGAUCUAGCCAUGGGCAGGUUGAAGGUUGGGUAACACUAACUGGAGGACCGAACCGACUAAUGUUGAAAAAUUAGCGGAUGACUUGUGGCUGGGGGUGAAAGGCCAAUCAAACCGGGAGAUAGCUGGUUCUCCCCGAAAGCUAUUUAGGUAGCGCCUCGUGAAUUCAUCUUCGGGGGUAGAGCACUGUUUCGGCUAGGGGGUCAUCCCGACUUACCAACCCGAUGCAAACUACGAAUACCGAAGAAUGUUAUCACGGGAGACACACGGCGGGUGCUAACGUCCGUCGUGAAGAGGGAAACAACCCAGACCGCCAGCUAAGGUCCCAAAGUCAUGGUUAAGUGGGAAACGAUGUGGGAAGGCCCAGACAGCCAGGAUGUUGGCUUAGAAGCAGCCAUCAUUUAAAGAAAGCGUAAUAGCUCACUGGUCGAGUCGGCCUGCGCGGAAGAUGUAACGGGGCUAAACCAUGCACCGAAGCUGCGGCAGCGACACUAUGUGUUGUUGGGUAGGGGAGCGUUCUGUAAGCCGUUGAAGGUGGCCUGUGAGGGUUGCUGGAGGUAUCAGAAGUGCGAAUGCUGACAUAAGUAACGAUAAUGCGGGUGAAAAACCCGCACGCCGGAAGACCAAGGGUUCCUGUCCAACGUUAAUCGGGGCAGGGUGAGUCGACCCCUAAGGCGAGGCCGAAAGGCGUAGUCGAUGGGAAACAGGUUAAUAUUCCUGUACUUGGUGUUACUGCGAAGGGGGGACGGAGAAGGCUAUGUUGGCCGGGCGACGGUUGUCCCGGUUUAAGCAUGUAGGCGGAUGUUCCAGGUAAAUCCGGAACGUCACUAACGCUGAGGUGUGAUGACGAGGCACUACGGUGCUGAAGUGACAAAUGCCCUGCUUCCAGGAAAAGCCUCUAAGCAUCAGGUAACAUCAAAUCGUACCCCAAACCGACACAGGUGGUCAGGUAGAGAAUACCAAGGCGCUUGAGAGAACUCGGGUGAAGGAACUAGGCAAAAUGGUGCCGUAACUUCGGGAGAAGGCACGCUGAUGGUAAGUGAAGUGACUUGCUCAUGGAGCUGAAAUCAGUCGAAGAUACCAGCUGGCUGCAACUGUUUAUUAAAAACACAGCACUGUGCAAACACGAAAGUGGACGUAUACGGUGUGACGCCUGCCCGGUGCCGGAAGGUUAAUUGAUGGGGUUAUCCUCGCGGAGAAGCUCUUGAUCGAAGCCCCGGUAAACGGCGGCCGUAACUAUAACGGUCCUAAGGUAGCGAAAUUCCUUGUCGGGUAAGUUCCGACCUGCACGAAUGGCGUAAUGAUGGCCAGGCUGUCUCCACCCGAGACUCAGUGAAAUUGAACUCGCUGUGAAGAUGCAGUGUACCCGCGGCAAGACGGAAAGACCCCGUGAACCUUUACUAUAGCUUGACACUGAACACUGGUCCUUGAUGUGUAGGAUAGGUGGGAGGCUUUGAAGUGUGGACGCCAGUCUGCAUGGAGCCAUCCUUGAAAUACCACCCUUUAAUGGCUGGUGUUCUAACGUGGGCCCCUAAUCGGGGUUGCGGACAGUGUCUGGUGGGUAGUUUGACUGGGGCGGUCUCCUCCUAAAGAGUAACGGAGGAGCACGAAGGUCAGCUAAUCCUGGUCGGACAUCAGGAGGUUAGUGCAAUGGCAUAAGCUGGCUUGACUGCGAGCGUGACGGCGCGAGCAGGUGCGAAAGCAGGUCAUAGUGAUCCGGUGGUUCUGAAUGGAAGGGCCAUCGCUCAACGGAUAAAAGGUACUCCGGGGAUAACAGGCUGAUACCGCCCAAGAGUUCAUAUCGACGGCGGUGUUUGGCACCUCGAUGUCGGCUCAUCACAUCCUGGGGCUGAAGUAGGUCCCAAGGGUAUGGCUGUUCGCCAUUUAAAGUGGUACGCGAGCUGGGUUUAGAACGUCGUGAGACAGUUCGGUCCCUAUCUGCCGUGGGCGCUGGAGAAUUGAGGGGGGCUGCUCCUAGUACGAGAGGACCGGAGUGGACGCAUCACUGGUGUUCGGGUUGUCAUGCCAAUGGCAUUGCCCGGUAGCUAAAUGCGGAAGAGAUAAGUGCUGAAAGCAUCUAAGCACGAAACUUGCCCCGAGAUGAGUUCUCCCUGACUCCUUGAGAGUCCUGAAGGAACGUUGAAGACGACGACGUUGAUAGGCCGGGUGUGUAAGCGCAGCGAUGCGUUGAGCUAACCGGUACUAAUGAACCGUGAGGCUUAACCUU
This 2906-nucleotide ribosomal RNA is filed under the name Klebsiella oxytoca. RNAcentral's name for it is "23S ribosomal RNA". It matches the Rfam family "Bacterial large subunit ribosomal RNA". The record is from RNAcentral. Lineage: Bacteria; Pseudomonadati; Pseudomonadota; Gammaproteobacteria; Enterobacterales; Enterobacteriaceae.